Molecule: ribosomal RNA, 254 nt
Filed under: uncultured bacterium
Lineage: Bacteria
Description: partial 16S ribosomal RNA
Rfam family: Bacterial small subunit ribosomal RNA
Source: RNAcentral
UACGAAGGGUGCAAGCGUUGUUCGGAAUUACUGGGCGUAAAGGGCUCGUAGGCGGCCAACUAAGUCGGAUGUGAAAUCCCCAGGCUUAACCUGGGAACUGCAUCCGAUACUGGAUGGCUUGAAUCCGGGAGAGGGAUGCAGAAUUCCAGGUGUAGCGGUGAAAUGCGUAGAUAUCUGGAGGAAUACCGGUGGCGAAGGCGGCAUCCUGGACCGGCAUUGACGCUGAGUGAGCGAAAGCGUGGGGAGCAAACAGG